CGCUGGCGGCGUGCCUAAUACAUGCAAGUCGAACGGUCUUUUCUAUGGAAGCUUGCUUCCACUGAGAAGAUAGUGGCGAACGGGUGAGUAACACGUGGGUAACCUGCCCAUAAGAGGGGGAUAACAUCCGGAAACGGGUGCUAAUACCGCAUAGUUUUCUUGAUCGCAUGAUCGGGAAAGGAAAGACGGCCUUUGUGCUGUCGCUUAUGGAUGGACCCGCGGCGUAUUAGUUAGUUGGUGAGGUAACGGCUCACCAAGACGAUGAUACGUAGCCGACCUGAGAGGGUGAUCGGCCACAUUGGGACUGAGACACGGCCCAAACUCCUACGGGAGGCAGCAGUAGGGAAUCUUCCGCAAUGGACGAAAGUCUGACGGAGCAACGCCGCGUGAGUGAAAGAAGGUUUUCGGAUCGUAAAACUCUGUUGUCAGAGAAGAACAAGUUGGAGAGUAACUGCUCCAGCCUUGACGGUAUCUGACCAGAAAGCCACGGCUAACUACGUGCCAGCCGCGGC
RNAcentral lists this ribosomal RNA (512 nucleotides) under uncultured bacterium. RNAcentral's name for it is "bacterial SSU rRNA". It matches the Rfam family "Bacterial small subunit ribosomal RNA", at positions 34 to 518 of the family's 1533-position model. The record is from RNAcentral.